This 61-nucleotide small nucleolar RNA is filed under the name Euglena gracilis. RNAcentral's name for it is "Eg-m59.2". Lineage: Eukaryota; Euglenozoa; Euglenophyceae; Euglenales; Euglenaceae. The record is from RNAcentral.
GCAGGAUGAUGUGUUAUCCCCAGUAUUUGAGCACUGAUAGCCAAUCUUGUUUCGCCUGAUC